UGAGGAAUAUUGGUCAAUGGGCGAGAGCCUGAACCAGCCAAGUCGCGUGAAGUAAGACAGUCCUACGGAUUGUAAACUUCUUUUAUACGGGAAUAACGGGCGAUACGAGUAUUGCAUUGAAUGUACCGUAAGAAUAAGCAUCGGCUAACUCCGUGCCAGCAGCCGCGGUAAUACGGAGGAUGCGAGCGUUAUCCGGAUUUAUUGGGUUUAAAGGGUGCGUAGGUUGUUCGGUAAGUCAGCGGUGAAACCUGAGCGCUCAACGUUCAGCCUGCCGUUGAAACUGCCGGGCUGGAGUUCAGUGGCGGCAGGGGGAAUUCGUGGUGUAGCGGUGAAAUGCAUAGAUAUCACGAGGAACUCCGAGUGCGAAGGCAGCUUGCCAUACUGCGACUGACACUGAAGCACGAAGGCGUGGGUAUCAAACAGG
This 424-nucleotide ribosomal RNA is filed under the name Fusobacteriota bacterium. RNAcentral's name for it is "Fusobacteria bacterium partial 16S ribosomal RNA". It matches the Rfam family "Bacterial small subunit ribosomal RNA", at positions 355 to 776 of the family's 1533-position model. The record is from RNAcentral. Lineage: Bacteria; Fusobacteriati; Fusobacteriota.